GUCCGCUUAGAGAACUUCGGUGCCACCCAUCCAUCUGUCGAGAAAGACUUGAUUUCUCCUGCGAUUCGCGUGGGGUAAAGCGCACAGUCGAAUGUUUCGAUCUCGCUAAUCCCGCUAACACCCUCAAGGAGGUUAUUGUAGAAGACAUCGGGGUCAUGGCCAAGAGGAGUCACCACUCCCAUCCCUGUCACAACAACCCGUCUUGGUUUUGUCUGAGUAAACCUCUUCUCUCCAGUUUCCUUUGCGGGCUGCACAGCUACCGCCAUGGUUUUU
Molecule: unclassified non-coding RNA, 273 nt
Filed under: Hevea brasiliensis (rubber tree)
Lineage: Eukaryota; Viridiplantae; Streptophyta; Magnoliopsida; Malpighiales; Euphorbiaceae
Source: RNAcentral